This 499-nucleotide ribosomal RNA is filed under the name uncultured bacterium. RNAcentral describes it as "partial 16S ribosomal RNA". It matches the Rfam family "Bacterial small subunit ribosomal RNA", at positions 28 to 510 of the family's 1533-position model. The record is from RNAcentral.
GAUGAACGCUGGCGGCGUGCUUAACACAUGCAAGUCGAGCGAAGCAUUUUAAAGGAAGUUUUCGGAUGGAAUUUAAAAUGACUGAGCGGCGGACGGGUGAGUAACGCGUGGGUAACCUGCCUCAUACAGGGGGAUAACGGUUAGAAAUGACUGCUAAUACCGCAUAAGCGCACAGUGCUGCAUAGCACAGUGUGAAAAACUCCGGUGGUAUGAGAUGGACCCGCGUCUGAUUAGGUAGUUGGUGAGGUAACGGCCCACCAAGCCGACGAUCAGUAGCCGACCUGAGAGGGUGACCGGCCACAUUGGGACUGAGACACGGCCCAAACUCCUACGGGAGGCAGCAGUGGGGAAUAUUGGACAAUGGGGGAAACCCUGACGCAGCAACGCCAUGUGUGGGAUGAAGCAUUUCGGUGUGUAAACCACUGUCGGCAGGGAAUAAAGCCCACAUUUAUGUGGGGUGAAUGUACCUGCAGAGGAAGCCCCGGCUAACUUCGUGCCA